UNGGUUUUAGUUGCUAGAUUGUGUGCUUA
This 29-nucleotide non-coding RNA is filed under the name Mus musculus (house mouse). The record is from RNAcentral. Lineage: Eukaryota; Metazoa; Chordata; Mammalia; Rodentia; Muridae.